Acanthochromis polyacanthus (spiny chromis) is the source of this 673-nucleotide long non-coding RNA. RefSeq lists it as uncharacterized. Lineage: Eukaryota; Metazoa; Chordata; Actinopteri; Pomacentridae. The transcript is spliced from 3 exons. The record is from RefSeq and is a predicted model, not a curated record.
UUAUUUGAAUGCAUUAAGAUGUUCCAAACAAACAACAAAAGUGAGUGUUUGUGAGGGAUAGAAGUAAUUGUUACAUUAUUCUUAUUUAUUUUUACAUUAUUCUACGCAGAUGGAAACAGAACCAUAUGUUUUGUUUGUUUAAGCCCAUUACAAAAACGUUUGAUUUGAAGUUCCAGCCUCUUCCAACUUUGUUCCAAGUAUUGCUUUAAAAUGGUUUAUUGUACUUUUAUUUACUCUUUGACCAGGCACAUUGCUCACAGCCUAUCUCCUGGCCCUUGGAGGCAGCUUGGUGUGAAUGAUGUUCAGGAAAACAUGCUGCAGAUUAGAAGAUGGUGGUGUCUUGUUCUCCUGCAGAACUUCCCCAUGCUGAGAAUCCUUUGGUCAGGGAUGCAAUGGCGGCAGCCCGGUAGUGUGGGACCAGAACUUUCAAGGGAAAAAUUUCCCUUCCCCAAGUUGUUACCAUGGCCAAGGAGCAACGCGUGAGGGCAGUGGAACUCCUGUGUGUCUGUGAUGGCCAGGAAGAAGAGGAGACCGCUGAUCUCAGAGAAACCGUUCCUUUUUCUUUUUAGUCUGCAGGAAGACUAUGAGACAUUCUGUCAAGAAAUCAUUGACAGGAGAAACAUGAAGGUGUUUGUGCUUUUGACAGAAAAGAAUAAAGUUGUGUUCAACGGUG